This 1495-nucleotide long non-coding RNA is filed under the name Homo sapiens (human). RNAcentral describes it as "HSALNT0156518". The record is from RNAcentral. Lineage: Eukaryota; Metazoa; Chordata; Mammalia; Primates; Hominidae.
CUGGGGGUCAGGUGGUUAGGUAACAGCAGCCCCUCAACACAGUGGGGGUUCCCUGGGGCGGGUGGUUAGGUAACAGCAGCCUCUCAACAUAGUGGGGGUUCCCUGGGGGGCAGACAGUUAGGUAACAGCAGCCCCUCAACAUGAGGUUCCAGUGCAGAUGAAGCAGAGCAGGCAUCGGGGAGGAAGAAACAGGGACCCUCGCGUGCACACGCACUGCUGUUUUAAGGGCUCCUGGAGACCGGGUGACGUGGAAUCACCUGCAGUCACACAGUCAGGGACCCUCGCGCACACACGCACUGCUGUUUUAACAGCUCUUAUAGACAGGGUGACAUGGAGUCACCUGCAGUCACACAGUCACCUUCAGCACCUUCCACACUCCCUGAGCGCUCUAGAGGCUCCAGCCUCUAUGGCCGACACUGUCAUUAAUUUCCCACUUAAUCCCAACUGUAAUCCUGGAAAACUGGCAUUAACUUUGUUUUACAGAGGGGGAAACUGAGGCAUGAGGGGGUAAGUGAUCAGCAAGAAGUUGGUGGGGACCACCGUGCCAGCUCCGGCUCGGCCCUCCACACCCUCCCAGCACAUACCCACCCUGUCAUGGGGAACCCGGGGGCAGGUGUCACCGUCCCCAUUCUCCCCAUUUCACAACUGAGUAAUCCCAGGGCCCCAGGAGGGAGUUCCCACCCCCGAGGCCGCCCCGCCCAGGUGUGCUGACAGACCAGGCAGGGAUGGCACCCAACUGGCCCCAGGCUGUGCAACCAAAAUGAGGGAGGAACGGUGGGGUCUGUGCCCCAUCACCGUGGGAGCAUGCAGACGGCACCACGGGCGGUCUGAUGGAAAAGCCAGGGCUGGAAAUACCGUCACAGACUCGGGACUGGCACCUCCCCGCCUGUCAUGCAUCCCCUCUCCCUGCCAGGUGGCAGCAGGCAGCCCGUUGCGAUGGGGAGUAAGAAGAGUGGGGUCCCCCGGGGCGGGGGUUUAGGAAACACAACCAAGGCCGCAGCAUGCAGUGGCAUCCCAGGGCUCAGCCGAGCCAGCCGCGAAAACAGCUUCCACACUGCCCAGCCAGAUUUUCUUUGACCACAGAACCCUCUUUUUUUUUUUUUUGUUUUUGCCCAAUGAAACAUCUGUAGCAUCACAUUUGGGAGAAGUCUAAUCUAGAAGAGGCCCCCUCAAUCUGACAUGUGGGUAAUCUGUGGCCCAGGGAGGGGAAGGGUUUGCCCCAAAUCACACAGAGACUUGGACAGGAGCCCCGGGCCCACUCCCACUCCUGCCCCUCCUACGGCUCAGCCCGUCAGGUUUUCCCAGGCUGAGAGGCACUGGGUCUGACAUCCAGUGAGAGCAAAUGCUCUCCUAGGAAAGGGCUCUCCCUCCCUUCCCACACCAGGCCCAGUGUGGACAGACUUCCUGUGGCCAAGGGCAGGGACCCAGGGGGCCGAGGACAAGAUCUGGGCUGGGGCACAACUGGCCCCAAACCCACCAUCCCUGGCCAGUCCUG